AUUUAUCGGAGAGUUUGAUCCUGGCUCAGGACGAACGCGGGCGGCGGUCCUAAUACAUGCAAGUCGAGCGGCAAGGUGGGAGCUUGCUCCCUGAUGUUAGCGGGGGAUGGUGGAGUAAGACG
This 122-nucleotide ribosomal RNA is filed under the name Bacillus subtilis subsp. subtilis. RNAcentral describes it as "partial 16S ribosomal RNA". It matches the Rfam family "Bacterial small subunit ribosomal RNA", at positions 1 to 117 of the family's 1533-position model. The record is from RNAcentral. Lineage: Bacteria; Bacillati; Bacillota; Bacilli; Caryophanales; Bacillaceae.